UGUGACCUGCGAGCUGGGCUGGGGGCUAUAAAGAGAUGAUCAAUGAUUUAUCAAUAGGAAUGAGGAGAAAUGGCUUCAGAUCAUCAGUGAAGGUUUAUAAACCCUCCAUUCCCCUGUUGAAGACACAUUGCUUCCAGAAAGUCCUGCUGCUGCUUUGAUUCUUCAUCACAAGAUGAAAUUCAUCCUUUUUACUUUGUUCCUCUGUGGAUUCAUCCUGGAAAUCAAUGUGAG
Poeciliopsis prolifica (blackstripe livebearer) is the source of this 231-nucleotide long non-coding RNA. RefSeq lists it as uncharacterized. NCBI's taxonomy places the organism in Eukaryota, Metazoa, Chordata, Actinopteri, Cyprinodontiformes, Poeciliidae. The record is from RefSeq and is a predicted model, not a curated record. The transcript is spliced from 3 exons.